ACGGGUGAGUAAUGUCUGGGAAACGUGCCUGAUGGAGGGGGAUAACUACUGGAAACGGUAGCUAAUACCGCAUAACGUCGCAAGACCAAAGAGGGGGACCUUCGGGCCUCUUGCCAUCGGAUGUGCCCAGAUGGGAUUAGCUAGUAGGUGGGGUAACGGCUCACCUAGGCGACGAUCCCUAGCUGGUCUGAGAGGAUGACCAGCCACACUGGAACUGAGACACGGUCCAG
Molecule: ribosomal RNA, 230 nt
Filed under: uncultured bacterium
Lineage: Bacteria
Description: partial 16S ribosomal RNA
Rfam family: Bacterial small subunit ribosomal RNA
Source: RNAcentral